AAUCAACGCUGGCGGCGUGCCUCAGACAUGCAAGUCGAACGAUUAAAGCUCUCUUCGGAGAGUGCAUAAAGUGGCGCACGGGUGAGUAACACGUAAGUAAUCUACCUUCGAGUGGGGAAUAACAUCGGGAAACCGAUGCUAAUACCGCAUAAUGCAGCGGCAUCGCAAGAUGACAGUUGUUAAAGAUUUAUCGCUUGAAGAGGAGCUUGCGGCAGAUUAGCUAGUUGGUAAGGUAAUGGCUUACCAAGGCUACGAUCUGUAACCGGUCUAAGAGGACGGUCGGUCACACUGACACUGAAUAACGGGUCAGACU
This 313-nucleotide ribosomal RNA is filed under the name uncultured bacterium. Its description in RNAcentral is "bacterial SSU rRNA". It matches the Rfam family "Bacterial small subunit ribosomal RNA", at positions 32 to 337 of the family's 1533-position model. The record is from RNAcentral.